Molecule: ribosomal RNA, 265 nt
Filed under: uncultured bacterium
Lineage: Bacteria
Description: partial 16S ribosomal RNA
Rfam family: Bacterial small subunit ribosomal RNA
Source: RNAcentral
UUCGAGUGGCGGACGGGUGAGUAACGCGUGGGGUAACCUGCCUUACACAGGGGGAUAACACCUGGAAACAGGUGCUAAUACCGCAUAAGCGCACAGGGCCGCAUGGCCCGGUGUGAAAAACUCCGGUGGUGUAAGAUGGACCCGCGUCUGAUUAGCUUGUUGGCGGGGUAGGGGCCCACCAAGGCGACGAUCAGUAGCCGGCCUGAGAGGGUGGACGGCCACAUUGGGACUGAGACACGGCCCAAACUCCUACGGAAGGCAGCAG